GUGAUGAUUAUGAUUCUCAGGGAUUGGCAGAUUGUUCCUGAAAAUGGAAGCAACUGGAAGAACACAGAACAUUAUGCAGAAACCAGUUUUUUACAGGACGCUCUGCGGAAAAAAGUUUUUCACAGCUUGCAAAUCAUUACAGUGCAUGUUUUGUCUGGAGCACCAUAUAUCUGGUACAGACAUCAACCCUAUUUGCUUCUUAACACUUGCUUCAAGAACCAAUAUACAGGUGGAAGAGAUGAAAAAAAUUACUGGAUUAAGUUUGAGGGAAGAAAGAAAGCAAGAGGGUAAUGUAGCUGUCUCAUCGACUCAGCAAUGGGCAGUUAACAAGAACAAAAGGACAAGAACAGCUGCUGUGUAUGAGCAAUAUGGAAACAGACAUUGUCAUUGCUGACCAUUUAUGACCACUCCAAACCUGUGUACUAUGUGAUUGAGCCUGAUGUUGAAUCCCUUGGUUCCGUUUCUCAAAUAUUGCUUCCUAAAUAACCUGUGUUGGAAGGGGAUUGCUUUUUCCUGGGUGGAUCUCUUGGUGACUUAACCUUCAGUGAGACACUGCCCUCACUGGUGUAAACUGUCCACUCGAGAUUCCUUAAUGAACAAAGCCUCAGCCCCUUUCCCAGUGUUCCACAAUCAUGUUUGGAUAACAUUUCCAAUCCAAGAAUAGUUGACAAGUUCCCAGGAAAUAAUUCCUGAUCAAUAAAAUGUUGUUUGAGCAAUUUGUUGUUGAUGUA
RNAcentral lists this long non-coding RNA (731 nucleotides) under Phascolarctos cinereus (koala). RNAcentral's name for it is "lncRNA (ENSPCIG00000036929.1)". Lineage: Eukaryota; Metazoa; Chordata; Mammalia; Diprotodontia; Phascolarctidae. The record is from RNAcentral.